RNAcentral lists this ribosomal RNA (427 nucleotides) under uncultured bacterium. Its description in RNAcentral is "bacterial SSU rRNA". It matches the Rfam family "Bacterial small subunit ribosomal RNA", at positions 355 to 774 of the family's 1533-position model. The record is from RNAcentral.
UGGGGAAUAUUGGACAAUGGGCGAAAGCCUGAUCCAGCAAUGCCGCGUGCAGGAUGAAGGCCUUCGGGUUGUAAACUGCUUUUGUACGGAGCGAAAAGGUCUGCCCUAAUACGGUGGGCUCAUGACGGUACCGUAAGAAUAAGCACCGGCUAACUACGUGCCAGCAGCCGCGGUAAUACGUAGGGUGCGAGCGUUAAUCGGAAUUACUGGGCGUAAAGCGUGCGCAGGCGGUUAUAUAAGACAGAUGUGAAAUCCCCGGGCUCAACCUGGGACCUGCAUUUGGGACUGUAUAGCUGGAGUACGGUAGAGGGGGAUGGAAUUCCGCGUGUAGCAGUGAAAUGCGUAGAUAUGCGGAGGAACACCGAUGGCGAAGGCAAUCCCCUGGACCUGUACUGACGCUCAUGCACGAAGGCGUGGGGAGCAAACA